AAAAGAUUAGUUAAAAAAUAACCUUAAUUUGUCAAAUUAAAAUUAUUAAUUAAAUAAUAUCUUUUU
This 66-nucleotide transfer RNA is filed under the name Nasonia longicornis. Its description in RNAcentral is "tRNA-Asp". Lineage: Eukaryota; Metazoa; Arthropoda; Insecta; Hymenoptera; Pteromalidae. The record is from RNAcentral.